This is a long non-coding RNA of Dicentrarchus labrax (European seabass), 1830 nucleotides long. The record is from Ensembl. NCBI's taxonomy places the organism in Eukaryota, Metazoa, Chordata, Actinopteri, Moronidae.
AUGAGAGGAAGCUCAAAGACAUCAUGGACCAUCAUCCUCUUUACACUGAGCCCAGGCAGCUCAGGAGCUUUGAGCCACAGACUGACCCAGAACAUAGCCUCGAAGCGGGUUGGAGGCCUCAUACUCAACAACCACAGCUCCCAGUACCUCCUCAACCACAGCUCCCAGUACCUCCUCAACCACAGCUCCCAGUACCUCCUCAACCACAGCUCCCAGUACCUCCAACCUCCACAACCACAGCACCCAGUACCUCCUCAACCACAGCUCCCAGUACCUCCUCAACCACAGCACCCAGUACCUCCUCAACCACAGCUCCCAGUACCUCCUCAACCACAGCUCCCAGUACCUCCUCAACCACAGCUCCCAGUACCUCCAACCUCCACAACCACAGCACCCAGUACCUCCUCAACCACAGCUCCCAGUACCUCCCCAACCACAGCACCCAGUACCUCCUCAACCACAGCUCCCAGUACCUCCUCAACCACAGCACCCAGUACCUCCUCAACCACAGCUCCCAGUACCUCCUCAACCACAGCUCCCAGUACCUCCAACCUCCACAACCACAGCACCCAGUACCUCCUCAACCACAGCUCCCAGUACCUCCUCAACCACAGCACCCAGUACCUCCUCAACCACAGCUCCCAGUACCUCCUCAACCACAGCUCCCAGUACCUCCUCAACCACAGCUCCCAGUACCUCCAACCUCCACAACCACAGCACCCAGUACCUCCUCAACCACAGCUCCCAGUACCUCCUCAACCACAGCACCCAGUACCUCCUCAACCACAGCUCCAAGUACCUCCAACCUCCACAACCACAGCUCCCAGUACCUCCAACCUCCACAACCACAGCUCCCAGUACCUCCAACCUCCACAACUACAGCACCCAGUACCUCCUCAACCACAGCACCCAGUACCUCCUCAACCACAGCUCCCAGUACCUCCUCAACCACAGCUCCCAGUACCUCCAACCUCCACAACCACAGCACCCAGUACCUCCUCAACCACAGCUCCCAGUACCUCCUCAACCACAGCUCCCAGUACCUCCAACCUCCACAACCACAGCACCCAGUACCUCCUCAACCACAGCACCCAGUACCUCCUCAACCACAGCACCCAGUACCUCCUCAACCACAGCUCCAAGUACCUCCAACCUCCACAACCACAGCUCCCAGUACCUCCAACCUCCACAACCACAGCUCCCAGUACCUCCAACCUCCACAACUCAGCACCCAGUCCUCCUCAACCACAGCACCCAGUACCUCCUCAACCACAGCACCCAGUACCUCCUCAACCACAGCUCCCAGUACCUCCUCAACCACAGCUCCCAGUACCUCCAACCUCCACAACCACAGCACCCAGUACCUCCUCAACCACAGCUCCCAGUACCUCCUCAACCACAGCUCCCAGUACCUCCUCAACCACAGCUCCCAGUACCUCCAACCUCCACAACCACAGCACCCAGUACCUCCUCAACCACAGCUCCCAGUACCUCCUCAACCACAGCACCCAGUACCUCCUCAACCACAGCUCCCAGUACCUCCUCAACCACAGCACCCAGUACCUCCUCAACCACAGCUCCAAGUACCUCCAACCUCCACAACCACAGCACCCAGUACCUCACCUCCACAACCACAGCACCCAGUACCUCCUCAACCACAGCUCCCAGUACCUCCUCAACCACAGCUCCAAGUACCUCCAACCUCCACAACCACAGCUCCCAGUACCUCCAACCUCCACAACCACAGCUCCCAGUACCUCUAACCUCCACAACCACAGCUCCCAGUACCUCCACCCUCCGCAGACUAACACUGGUUUUAUUUAUAUUUAA